UGCAGCCACCACUGCAACAGCCACUGCCACCAUUGUGGCCACCACCACUACCACUGGAGUCGCUGCUGUCACUGGAAUCACUGCUGCAAUCACUUCUGUCAUCGCUGCUGCCAUCGCUGCUGCCAUCGCUGCCAUCACAACCACGGCAGCCACUGCUGCUGCCACCUCCCACCUUUGUCCCUUUCCCAACUCCUGCACUCCCAAACGUGUCCCUUUGGAGCUUUGUCUGUCCCUUCCCUGUGCCCAGGUGGAUGGAGCUGGUUUGAGGGGCUGCACUGCGCCCCCUCCCCGUGCAGGGCUUGGGGACAGGGACAGGGAGCACCUCGGGGGCUCCAGCCGGUGUCACCUGGGGUACUGUGCCCAUCCAUACAGUGCUGCUGUCCCACGGCAGUGCUGAGGCUGUCCUGGUGGUGGCCAAGGGUGGUGGCCUUGCCAUGGGGACAGAGUGGCCCACAGUGAUGCAGCAGCCUGGGGUGGUGGCUAUGCCAAAGGCACACGAUGUCCUGUGGCGACAAGGUGACCUGGGGCUGUGUCCCCACCACAAGGAUGCAGUAGCCAGGACCAGGGAUGUCCCCUGACCCUCUAGGUCCGGGCCAGCGCCAUCGCGCAGGACGCCGAUCAGAACUACGACUACGCCAGCAACAGCGUCAUCCUGCACCUGGACGCGGGGGACGAGGUCUUCAUCAAGCUGGACGGGGGCAAAGCCCACGGCGGCAACAACAACAAGUACAGCACCUUCUCCGGCUUCAUCAUCUACUCGGACUGAGCCCGGAACCGCGGCACCGCCCCCGGCAUCCCCCGCAGUGACCCCCCCGGCCCCACGGCAUCCCUGUGCCGUGUUUGGUUCCCUGCUGCCCCCCGGCUCCCCCCGCUCUUGCCCAGCCCCACGGAACCCCCCGCCACAGUCCAGCCCACGGAUUCCCCCGCUCCUCCCCGCGCUCCCGGCUGCCUUCGGUGCCCGGAACCCCCUUUUCCCGUGAGCUCACACCAAGGCUGCCAAUUGAGGGCUUGGGGCUGCAGAGGUUUGGGGGUGGCGAAAAGCUGCGGGUGCCCCCCGCGCUGCCCCACGGCACCCCCAUCCCUGGCUGUGGCCCCUUGUCCCGUCCCUUCUCUCUGCCCGCCGCGGGGCGAUGCCGGGGGUCUCGGGGGGUCCGGCUGUACAGACGCGCACGGCCCCGGGCCGGGGGGCUGUGCUGGGGCGGGGGGAGCCACCGUCCUGCCCCCCCCGCCGGGGUGACAACAUGGUAAAGCAGAGCUGUGAUCU
Parus major (Great Tit) is the source of this 1264-nucleotide RNA transcript. RefSeq lists it as uncharacterized. The record is from RefSeq and is a predicted model, not a curated record. NCBI's taxonomy places the organism in Eukaryota, Metazoa, Chordata, Aves, Passeriformes, Paridae. The transcript is spliced from 2 exons.